RNAcentral lists this ribosomal RNA (492 nucleotides) under uncultured bacterium. RNAcentral's name for it is "bacterial SSU rRNA". It matches the Rfam family "Bacterial small subunit ribosomal RNA", at positions 339 to 848 of the family's 1533-position model. The record is from RNAcentral.
CUACGGGAGGCAGCAGUGGGGAAUAUUGCACAAUGGGGGAAACCCUGAUGCAGCGACGCCGCGUGGAGGAAGAAGGUCUUCGGAUUGUAAACUCCUGUUGUUGAGGAAGAUAAUGACGGUACUCAACAAGGAAGUGACGGCUAACUACGUGCCAGCAGCCGCGGUAAAACGUAGGUCACAAGCGUUGUCCGGAAUUACUGGGUGUAAAGGGAGCGCAGGCGGGAAGACAAGUUGGAAGUGAAAUCUAUGGGCUCAACCCAUAAACUGCUUUCAAAACUGUUUUUCUUGAGUAGUGCAGAGGUAGGCGGAAUUCCCGGUGUAGCGGUGGAAUGCGUAGAUAUCGGGAGGAACACCAGUGGCGAAGGCGGCCUACUGGGCACCAACUGACGCUGAGGCUCGAAAGUGUGGGUAGCAAACAGGAUUAGAUACCCUGGUAGUCCACACCGUAAACGAUGAUUACUAGGUGUUGGAGGAUUGACCCCUUCAGUGCCG